RNAcentral lists this transfer RNA (76 nucleotides) under Pseudomonadota bacterium. Its description in RNAcentral is "Proteobacteria bacterium tRNA-Thr". It matches the Rfam family "tRNA". Rfam says of the family: Transfer RNA (tRNA) molecules are approximately 80 nucleotides in length. Their secondary structure includes four short double-helical elements and three loops (D, anti-codon, and T loops). Further hydrogen bonds mediate the characteristic L-shaped molecular structure. tRNAs have two regions of fundamental functional importance: the anti-codon, which is responsible for specific mRNA codon recognition, and the 3' end, to which the tRNAs corresponding amino acid is attached (by aminoacyl-tRNA synthetases). tRNAs cope with the degeneracy of the genetic code in two manners: having more than one tRNA (with a specific anti-codon) for a particular amino acid; and 'wobble' base-pairing, i.e. permitting non-standard base-pairing at the 3rd anti-codon position. The record is from RNAcentral. Lineage: Bacteria; Pseudomonadati; Pseudomonadota.
GCCCAUAUAGCUCAGUCGGUAGAGCACUUCCUUGGUAAGGAAGAGGUCAUCGGUUCAAAUCCGGUUAUGGGCUCCA